UACGAGGGGUGCAAACGUUAUUCGGAAUUACUGGGUGUAAAGGGUACGUAGACGGCACUUCAAGUCAAUUGUUAAAUUCCCCAGCUUAACUGGGGGUAGGCGGUUGAAACUGAAGAGCUAGAGGAUGGAAGAGAGAAGUGGAAUUCUCGGAGUAGCGGUAAAAUGCGUAGAUCUCGAGAGGAACACCGAUGGCGAAGGCAGCUUCUUGGUCCAUUUCUGACGUUGAGGUACGAAAGCGUGGGGAGCAAACAGG
Molecule: ribosomal RNA, 253 nt
Filed under: uncultured bacterium
Lineage: Bacteria
Description: partial 16S ribosomal RNA
Rfam family: Bacterial small subunit ribosomal RNA
Source: RNAcentral